Molecule: transfer RNA, 88 nt
Filed under: Candidatus Uhrbacteria bacterium
Lineage: Bacteria; Candidatus Uhriibacteriota
Description: tRNA-Ser
Rfam family: tRNA
About the family: Transfer RNA (tRNA) molecules are approximately 80 nucleotides in length. Their secondary structure includes four short double-helical elements and three loops (D, anti-codon, and T loops).
Source: RNAcentral
GGAGCUGAGGCAGAUACGGUUGGCUGCGCCAGUUUGCUAAACUGGUUGCCCACUUAUGGGCAUGAGGGUUCGAAUUCCUCCAACUCCG